AUGAACGCUAGCUACAGGCUUAACACAUGCAAGUCGCAGGGUAACAUGAGGAAAGCUUGCUUUCCUUGAUGACGACUGGCGCACGGGUGAGUAACGCGUAUCCAACCUUCCCAUAACUACGGGAUAACCCGUUGAAAGACGGCCUAAUACCGUAUGAUAUCGUUUGCUGACAUCAAAUAACGAUUAAAGGUUUAGCGGUUAUGGAUGGGGAUGCGUCUGAUUAGCUUGUUGGCGGGGUAACGGCCCACCAAGGCGACGAUCAGUAGGGGUUCUGAGAGGAAGGUCCCCCACAUUGGAACUGAGACACGGUCCAAACUCCUACGGGAGGCAGCAGUGAGGAAUAUUGGUCAAUGGGCGAGAGCCUGAACCAGCCAAGUAGCGUGCAGGACGACGGCCCUAUGGGUUGUAAACUGCUUUUAUGUGGGGAGAAAGUGCGUGACGUGUCAUGCAUUGCAGGUACCACAUGAAUAAGGACCGGCUAAUUCCGUG
Molecule: ribosomal RNA, 489 nt
Filed under: uncultured bacterium
Lineage: Bacteria
Description: partial 16S ribosomal RNA
Rfam family: Bacterial small subunit ribosomal RNA
Source: RNAcentral